RNAcentral lists this ribosomal RNA (253 nucleotides) under uncultured bacterium. RNAcentral describes it as "partial 16S ribosomal RNA". It matches the Rfam family "Bacterial small subunit ribosomal RNA", at positions 524 to 776 of the family's 1533-position model. The record is from RNAcentral.
UACGGAGGGGGCGAGCGUUAUUCGGAAUUAUUGGGCGUAAAGGGCGCGUAGGCGGCCUGGUAAGUCAAAGGUGAAAUCCCUCGGCUCAACUGAGGAACUGCCUUUGAAACUACCUGGCUUGAGGCCGGGAGGGGGUAGCGGAAUUCCCAGUGUAGCGGUGAAAUGCGUAGAUACUGGGAGGAACACCAGUGGCGAAGGCGGCUACCUGGACCGGUUCUGACGCUGAUGCGCGAAAGCGUGGGGAGCAAACAGG